CCUACGGGAGGCAGCAGUGGGGAAUAUUGCGCAAUGGGCGGAAGCCUGACGCAGCGACGCCGCGUGGGGGAUGACGGCCUUCGGGUUGUAAACCUCUUUCAGCAGGGACGAAGCCGUGAGGUGACGGUACCUGCAGAAGAAGCACCGGCCAACUACGUGCCAGCAGCCGCGGUAAUACGUAGGGUGCAAGCGUUGUCCGGAAUUAUUGGGCGUAAAGAGCUCGUAGGCGGUUUGUUGCGUCGGCUGUGAAAUCCCGAGGCUCAACCUCGGGUCUGCAGUCGAUACGAGCAAACUAGAGUGUUGCAGGGGAGACUGGAAUUCCUGGUGUAGCGGUGAAAUGCGCAGAUAUCAGGAGGAACACCGGUGGCGAAGGCGGGUCUCUGGGCAACAACUGACGCUGAGGAGCGAAAGCGUGGGGAGCGAACAGGAUUAGAUACCCUGGUAGUCCACGCCGUAAACGUUGGGCGCUAGGUGUGGGGCUCAUUCCACGGGUUCCGUGCCGCAGCUAACGCAUUAAGCGCCCCGCCUGGGGAGUACGGCCGCAAGGCUAAAACUCAAAUGAAUUGACGGA
This 571-nucleotide ribosomal RNA is filed under the name uncultured bacterium. Its description in RNAcentral is "bacterial SSU rRNA". It matches the Rfam family "Bacterial small subunit ribosomal RNA", at positions 338 to 917 of the family's 1533-position model. The record is from RNAcentral.